UUGAAAACAAAGUCCACUCACAGAUAGUCCCAAGCUGCACCCCGAGAGGGUCCUGCCUGCUGAGUACGUGCGGUCGGAGCACCUAUUUCGAGAUACGAACCCUUAAUUAAUAUAAAACACUUCGAAACGGAAAUCACAAAAUUAAAUAUUUAAAUCCCCAAGUUCCCAAUGCGUGUACGUUGAAUGAGGUAUUCUAAGGUCCAUCUACACGUUAGGAAAUGUCUUGAAAGUUUGAUCUGGAAAAGACGGUUAUCGGAAAUCACAACUCUGAAUUGUUGAAUCGGAAUAUGCGGGGCUCCCAUUCACGAUCCACGAACUCCUACACGUUUCUAAGAGUGCCUAGAUUAACAUAUUUUAAUUGGGAAACGAUCCAACGGUUAGAACCUAUCGAACCCGGAUAACGCACAAUAUGCGAAAUUCGUUCGAUAGUCAAACGACGUCCGAAUUGAGAUCUGCAAAAUCCUACGCACUUGUGACAACCUGAGGAUCUCAUCAGGAUAAAAUGUAGCUUCACUACCCUUGCCCACGCGCCGCCACACUUGCCGGCAGCGCGUGGGUGUAUAGAGUAAAUUCCAGUGACGGAAAAACUCCACACCACCGCUCACCCUUCCUAUCCUAGAUACUACUCGAAGCAAGGAUCAUUUCAUUCAACUAUGGGAAGGUCUAAUUCAGACGGUAACUGGCAGGAAUUUCACUUUGAAAUUCGGCCAAAACCUAGGUUUCGAAAUCGGUUUCCCAAACUAAAAAUUGAUUCAAUCCUAACCCAUAGACAGCUAGAACAGAUAAAAAGAGAGAGAAACCCCACCUUUUUCACCUGAAAUGGAUGGCGGAGACGGCGGCACAACAACGGGAAAAGUACGGGUUGAACCAGUCGAUACUGCCGAUGAUUCUCGAGUUUUCCGGCGGGGAAACUGGGUGGUUUGGGUUCGGGACUUCGAGCUGGAGCUAAUGGGACCGGUGCCGUCGAUCGAGGUGGCCGGAAAUGGUGGCGGGGUGGUG
RNAcentral lists this long non-coding RNA (999 nucleotides) under Prunus persica (peach). RNAcentral describes it as "long non-coding RNA (PPER_LNC003766)". The record is from RNAcentral. Lineage: Eukaryota; Viridiplantae; Streptophyta; Magnoliopsida; Rosales; Rosaceae.